GUAGAGAGGAGAGAAGGGGAGAAGGAGGAGGAGGAGGAGGAGAGGAGAGAAGGGGGAGAAGGAGGAGGAGGUGGAGAGGAGAGAAGGGGAGAAGGAGGAGGAGGUGGAGAGGAGAGGAGAGAAGGAGGAGGAGGAGGUGGAGAGGAGAUAAGGGGAGAAGAGGAGGAGGUGGAGAGGAGAGAAGGGGAGAAGGAGAAGGAGGAGGUGGAGAGGAGAGAAGGGGAGAAGGAGUAGGAGGAAGUGGAGAGGAGAGAAGGGGAGAAGGAGGAGGAGAAGGUGGAGAGUAGAGAAGAGGAGAAGGAGGAGGAGGUGGAGAGGAG
Molecule: long non-coding RNA, 320 nt
Organism: Oncorhynchus tshawytscha (Chinook salmon)
Lineage: Eukaryota; Metazoa; Chordata; Actinopteri; Salmoniformes; Salmonidae
Source: Ensembl